UUAAGAGGGUAAAUGUACCCUCGUAAAAGCACUCUUGUACCUUAAGACAGUAAUUGUGCCCAUGUAAAUGCACCCUUCCAACUUAAGAGGGUAAAUUUGCCCUUGUGAAAUGCACUCUUGCACCUUAAGAGGGUAAAUGGACCCUUGUACACGCACUCUUGCAUGUACCCUUGUACACGCACUCUUGCACCUUAAGACAGUAAAUAGAGUAAAUGAACCUUUGUAAAAUGAAUGUAUUCUGUUAAGAUACCAUUAAAUCUUAAGAGAGUAAAAGUACCAGAAAUUUAAGCCCCCUUUUCUCUGCUUUCCAAUGGUCCCGUGGCUGUCCAAUGGUCCCUUCUGCUGUCGCUCCCAGCGGGGGCAGACAGGAGAGGUACCUAGAGCCACGGGGCAACAGGAAGGGUGGUCCAGGCCUCGAGAUGGACAAGAGGGGCAGUUAGAGCAUUGAGACCAACAGGAGGGGCCAAAGGAGCAGCAGGGACCGACAGGAAGGACAAAUGGAGCCACAGACCAGACAGGAGGGGAUAAUGGAUUCAUGAGGCAACAGCUUGGGCCAGGACCACCAGGAUAGGUGGAUACUUAACGGGGGCAGACAGGAGAGGUACCAAGAGCCACGGGGCAACAGGAAGGGUGGUCCAGGCCUCGAGAUGGACAAGAGGGGCAGUUAGAGCAUUGAGACCAACAGGAGGGGCCAACGGAGCAGCGGGGACCGACAGGAAGGACAAAUGGAGCCACAGACCAGACAGGAGGGGAUAAUGGAUUCAUGAGGCAACAGCUUGUUCCAGGACCACCAGGAUAGGUGGAUACUAUAUGUUACUGAUAAAUGCCAGUGCAGCUCCCAGACAAGAUAUGUACAAGUCAUACAGUUAUACCCGGAGGACCUGAUCCUUGUGGUAUACAUUAAAUAGCAUAUAUAACACUAUAUAGAUGGUAUUCAGAGGGAGCACAUGUGUUGUCAAGUGGGGUAGUGACUCACUGCUGUUGAUUAUGAUGUACAUAUCUAGCAAAGAAACCCUGGUAGUGUAAGAAGUAUUUACCGUGGUUAUCAGUACUUGGUAGGCAUGGAUACAAUAAAUACAUAAGAUAUCAGUAGACUUAAGAUAUCAGCAGAUGUAAAAAAAAGAGAGGGGAAAAGAAAGGGACAUGUAGGUACUUGUGACAGAGAUGAAAAGGUACGUGAGUGCUACCUGAAAUGUCUGACUGUUUCCAAAAUCUGUACUUGUAACAAUUUAUUGUGUAUGUAUUACUGUUGACAUAUCAAGACUGAAAUCAGCUGUGUAUUGACAAAUUAUCAAGAUCCUGUUAGCUUAUCAGAACUUUGUUUUGUUAUAGUUUCUUUUCAAAAAUUCACUCAAGUUUCUCAUGCAAACUGGGUCUUCAAGAAUGUCUUGUUAGCAAAUGCAUUUUUUGUGAUAAGGUGAGAUGCCAAGUAAUUGUACAAGAUUAAAUGUAGAAGUGGAGACAUUUUGUAAAAGAAGAGAUUGUGUCAUACUGGUAUAGCAAAAAACAAUGCUUUUAGGUGACAUGUAGUUUUUAUGCAUUACAUGGUGUUACACUUUUAUAAUGUACAUUGGACAUGCUGCCAAAGUGGAUGUACAUCUCAGAGACAUGGAAGAAGAAAGAGAGGAAAAUUGUAGUAGUGUAGCAAUGCAGUUUGUUUUUGCAUCAUGUUUUUGUUGUUUCAAGUAAAGAAACAUAAUUCUAUUUUGCACAACUAAA
This is a long non-coding RNA of Branchiostoma floridae (Florida lancelet), 1719 nucleotides long. RefSeq lists it as uncharacterized. Lineage: Eukaryota; Metazoa; Chordata; Leptocardii; Amphioxiformes; Branchiostomatidae. The record is from RefSeq and is a predicted model, not a curated record. The transcript has 3 exons.